This 72-nucleotide transfer RNA is filed under the name Candidatus Moraniibacteriota bacterium. RNAcentral's name for it is "tRNA-Cys". It matches the Rfam family "tRNA". Rfam says of the family: Transfer RNA (tRNA) molecules are approximately 80 nucleotides in length. Their secondary structure includes four short double-helical elements and three loops (D, anti-codon, and T loops). Further hydrogen bonds mediate the characteristic L-shaped molecular structure. tRNAs have two regions of fundamental functional importance: the anti-codon, which is responsible for specific mRNA codon recognition, and the 3' end, to which the tRNAs corresponding amino acid is attached (by aminoacyl-tRNA synthetases). tRNAs cope with the degeneracy of the genetic code in two manners: having more than one tRNA (with a specific anti-codon) for a particular amino acid; and 'wobble' base-pairing, i.e. permitting non-standard base-pairing at the 3rd anti-codon position. Lineage: Bacteria; Candidatus Moraniibacteriota. The record is from RNAcentral.
GGCCAGGUGCCCGAACGGUUAGGGGAAGGUCUGCAAAACCUUUUUAUGUGGGUUCGAGUCCCAUCCUGGCCU